UGUCGGGUCCUUGUCUUAGUUUGUCUGUGUCUAACGUUGUCGCACGUACGUCUCAGCUCUCAAGUGGAAUUGUAAUUCUGGUUAGCUUCGCUCUCUUGUCAGUCCUUGUUGUUAGUGCGACCGGUAUUUAGCUGGGUGCUAACUUCUCCGCCGUGCCGCCUGUUUUUGGACUGUUGAACAUCUUCAUCAUUAAACGCUUCAUCAUCAUUAUCUGGGUCUAUGCAUCACUCCUCACCAUCACCUACCACCACUUCAUGACAAAAGGAAGACGAGCAGAGUUACAAAGUGAUGAUUUUCAAGACGAAAUUGGAGCAUUACCCCUCCUAACUGACAUGCUGCAGGAGCUUUUCAGCAGCACCUGGAGGUGCCCUGUGCUGCUCCAUGCUGUCGUGGAGACUCCAGGAUUGGAAGAAAAGCCCGUCCCCCCGGCCUGAAAGAAUGUUCAACUAAAUGUCACAAUGAAGCUGAAAUAAAGAAAUGAAACAGAAAACAUUUGGUCU
Molecule: long non-coding RNA, 500 nt
Organism: Poecilia latipinna (sailfin molly)
Lineage: Eukaryota; Metazoa; Chordata; Actinopteri; Cyprinodontiformes; Poeciliidae
Exons: 3
Source: RefSeq, a predicted model, not a curated record